AGAAAGAAAGAAAGAAAGAAAUGCGUACAAAGAACAUGCAUAGAAAGCAAUUCGAGCAAAAGGAAGAUAAACGCUGCGUAUAUAUUCGUAGUUGUAGCAAUUCAGUUUUAUCUGUUUCUUUUCGGAUUCU
RNAcentral lists this non-coding RNA (130 nucleotides) under uncultured eukaryote. The record is from RNAcentral.